UUGGCUUAAAAUUGGUGUUAAAGAGCAACUGUACCACUGAUAUUUUGAUUUCAUACAAUUUAGCCUUUGCUGGUAGCUUGUACAAGUCAUGUUUCAUAAAGAAAACUUGCUCCAAACAUCAAAUUUUGAUUUAGAACACUUUUCUGCAAAUUGGCCAUUCAAAUCGCCAUUUUAUUUCUGAUAUAAGCCAUGAUGCAUACAACAUAAGCCAUGAAAAGCUUCAUACCACAUUACUGAAAUCAAAAACCACUGAAAUCAAAACAUCCCCACUAAUACAAGUUUCACCCAACUUUCAGCAACAGUGACACUAAAAUUACAUUGAAAAUAAAGUUCACAAACAACAUCCCCACUAAGAUUUUAAACCACUUUUCCAACCUAAGUAAGGUUUUCUCCAUAGAAGCCAUUCUCAUCUUUUCACGAUAACUUUCUUCCAUACUCAUCAAACCCCCUUCUUCACCUCGUGCAGUAGCACUCCUUUCUUCUACCACUCCUUCAUUUCCUUCUUCAAAGCACCACUCAAAGAAGUUGCACCCAACCAAUUCGUCACUCCCACCCUAUUCAAGAACAACACAAAGUCCUCCGUCAAAAUCCAAAAUUUAGGGCAACCCCAAAAGUUAGGGCACCCCCAAAAUUUUUUUCCCCUUGUUCUUAGGUGUUCUGGCAAUUCGAAACACUGCAUUCUGACCACAAAAGCAUGUUGGUUUUGCACCCAACCUCUUCACACUCCCAGUACUGUGUUGCAUGGACGAACCCAAACAUUUACAAGAGGUUGAUGAACGAGACAUAUCCUUAGGAGCACCUCAAGAACACAAUGCUUGACUACAGCUCUUCUUACCCAAGAUGAAUGAAAGACCUCUUCUUCCCUAACUCGACAAUUAAGUAAGGAUGAGAGGGGAUUCCCUUAAAUCUUAGGGCUUCGUCAUCCUCGAAAGGCAUUAUAUUUUAUUUCACAUUGACACGUGGUAAAAACAAAAAUUACAACUCAUCAACACUUAACGCCGUCUGCUACCACUUAACGAAUGAG
RNAcentral lists this long non-coding RNA (1024 nucleotides) under Vigna radiata. RNAcentral's name for it is "long non-coding RNA (VRAD_LNC012691)". The record is from RNAcentral. Lineage: Eukaryota; Viridiplantae; Streptophyta; Magnoliopsida; Fabales; Fabaceae.